CUUCCUAUAGCUCAAUUGGUAGAGCUUCUGAUUUUUAAUCAGAAGGUUCUAGGUUCGAGUCCUAGUAGGGAGA
RNAcentral lists this transfer RNA (73 nucleotides) under Bacteriophage sp. RNAcentral describes it as "tRNA-Lys". It matches the Rfam family "tRNA". Rfam says of the family: Transfer RNA (tRNA) molecules are approximately 80 nucleotides in length. Their secondary structure includes four short double-helical elements and three loops (D, anti-codon, and T loops). Further hydrogen bonds mediate the characteristic L-shaped molecular structure. tRNAs have two regions of fundamental functional importance: the anti-codon, which is responsible for specific mRNA codon recognition, and the 3' end, to which the tRNAs corresponding amino acid is attached (by aminoacyl-tRNA synthetases). tRNAs cope with the degeneracy of the genetic code in two manners: having more than one tRNA (with a specific anti-codon) for a particular amino acid; and 'wobble' base-pairing, i.e. permitting non-standard base-pairing at the 3rd anti-codon position. The record is from RNAcentral.